Molecule: ribosomal RNA, 253 nt
Filed under: uncultured bacterium
Lineage: Bacteria
Description: partial 16S ribosomal RNA
Rfam family: Bacterial small subunit ribosomal RNA
Source: RNAcentral
UACGAAGGGGGCUAGCGUUGCUCGGAAUCACUGGGCGUAAAGGGUGCGUAGGCGGGUCUUUAAGUCAGGGGUGAAAUCCUGGAGCUUAACUCCAGAACUGCCUUUGAUACUGAGGAUCUUGAGUUCGGGAGAGGUGAGUGGAACUGCGAGUGUAGAGGUGAAAUUCGUAGAUAUUCGCAAGAACACCAGUGGCGAAGGCGGCUCACUGGCCCGGUACUGACGCUGAGGCACGAAAGCGUGGGGAGCAAACAGG